AGGACGAACGCUGGCGGCGUGCUUAACACAUGCAAGUCGAGCGGUAAGGCCUUUCGGGGUACACGAGCGGCGAACGGGUGAGUAACACGUGGGUGAUCUGCCCUGCACUCUGGGAUAAGCCUGGGAAACUGGGUCUAAUACCGGAUAUGACCUGCUCUCGCAGUGGGGGUGGGUGGAAAGAUUUAUCGGGUGCAGGAUGGGGCCCGCGGACCUAUCA
RNAcentral lists this ribosomal RNA (217 nucleotides) under uncultured soil bacterium. RNAcentral's name for it is "partial 16S ribosomal RNA". It matches the Rfam family "Bacterial small subunit ribosomal RNA", at positions 26 to 243 of the family's 1533-position model. The record is from RNAcentral.